This 463-nucleotide ribosomal RNA is filed under the name uncultured bacterium. RNAcentral's name for it is "partial 16S ribosomal RNA". It matches the Rfam family "Bacterial small subunit ribosomal RNA", at positions 28 to 507 of the family's 1533-position model. The record is from RNAcentral.
GAUGAACGCUGACAGAAUGCUUAACACAUGCAAGUCGAUGGGGAAGUGGUGCUUGCACCAUGGUAACCAUGGCGGACGGGUGAGUAACGCGUAAGGAACUUACCUGCGGGACCGGGAUAACAGCAGGAAACUGCUGACAAGACCGGAUAAGGUCAUUAAGCUGCAUAGCUUAGUGAUGAAAGGAGACGCCUGCGGAGAGCCUUGCGUCCUAUUAGCUAGUUGGAGGGGUAACGGCCCACCAAGGCGAAGAUAGGUAGCCGGCCUGAGAGGGUGGACGGCCACAAGGGGACUGAGAUACGGCACUUACUCCUACGGGAGGAAGCAGUGGGGAAUAUUGGACAAUGGGGGCAACACUGAUCCAGCAAUUCUGUGUGCACGAAGACGGUUUUCGGAUUGUAAAGUGCUUUCAGCAGGGAAGAAGGAAGUGACGGUACCUGCAGAAGAAGCGACGGCUAAAUACGUG